CCCCGCCGGGGGUGCGGAGAGGGUGGGGGCGGAGUAGCCAUCUUGGACUCCGCUCGACCCCGUCUGGUGGCGGGCGACGCCGGUCCGGGCUCCGCGCUGGGGGUCGGGGUACCAGGAAACCUAGGGUUUAUCUCUCGUACUCAUCCACUGGGCGGUCCAUACAGAUCAGAGGACGUGAUGAGCUCAGCGGAGUUGGGCACAACAAGGAGGAUACCAUUUGGUGCCCAUUUAGUUGCUGUGCCUGUUAUGGCUUAGGAAUUACAAAAGCUAAUGAAGUACAGGAUGAAGGGAGUGCUGAUGUAAUCUUGUGUAACAGAAGGAAUGGCCACCUAGUUUUGCUUUCCAACUACAAACACCAUGGGGAUCUCGUGGUUUAAGGUUAAACAAUCCUAUUAAGAAAUGGGCAAAGGACCUGAACAGACACUUCUCCAAAGAGGACAUACAGAUGGCCAAUAGACAUAUGAAAAAAUAUUCAACAUCACUAAUCAUCAGAGAAAUGCAAAUGAAAACCAUGAUGAGAUAUCACCUCACAUCUGCCAGAAUGGCUAUCAUCAAUAAAUCAACAAACAAGUACGGGUAAGAAUGUGGAGAAAAGGCAACCCUUAUGCACUGUUGGUGGAAUGCAGACUGGUGCAAUCACUGUGGAAAACAGCAUGGAGUUAUCUCAAAAAAUUAAAAAUGGAACUGCCUUUUGACCCAUUGAGGCUACUUUUGGAAUAUAUACUAAGAAUUCUGAAAGAAUAUAUGCACCCCUAUGUUCAUUACAGUGUUAUUUAUAAUAGCCAAGAACUGGAAGCAGCUCAAGUGCCCAUCAGUAGAAGAAUGGAUGAAAACAUCUGUGGUACAUUUACACAAUGGACUAUUAUGCAGCAGUAAAAAGGGACAUCUUUCCUCUUGUGACAGCAUGGAUGGUCCUGGAAAUUAUUAUUCUAAGUGAUAUUAGCCAGCCAGAGAAAUACAGAUACCAUAUAAUUUCACUUAUAUGUGGAAUCUAAUGAACAAAAUAUAUUGAUGAACAUUAUAGAAAUAGUCAUGGCUACAUGGAACAGAUUGACAGCUGUCAGAGGGGAGGGGAAAGAGGAGACUGGAUGAAAGAAGGUGAGGGAUUAGCCAAAGAACAUAUAUACAUGACACAUAGACACGGACAACAGUGCGGUGAUG
Long non-coding RNA from Eptesicus fuscus (big brown bat), 1161 nucleotides. RefSeq lists it as uncharacterized. The record is from RefSeq and is a predicted model, not a curated record. The transcript has 4 exons. NCBI's taxonomy places the organism in Eukaryota, Metazoa, Chordata, Mammalia, Chiroptera, Vespertilionidae.